RNAcentral lists this ribosomal RNA (650 nucleotides) under Qipengyuania citrea. RNAcentral's name for it is "bacterial SSU rRNA". It matches the Rfam family "Bacterial small subunit ribosomal RNA", at positions 111 to 797 of the family's 1533-position model. Lineage: Bacteria; Pseudomonadati; Pseudomonadota; Alphaproteobacteria; Sphingomonadales; Erythrobacteraceae. The record is from RNAcentral.
UAACGCGUGGGAACCUGCCUUUAGGUUCGGAAUAACAGUUAGAAAUGACUGCUAAUACCGGAUAAUGUCUUCGGACCAAAGAUUUAUCGCCUUUAGAUGGGCCCGCGUUAGAUUAGAUAGUUGGUGGGGUAAUGGCCUACCAAGUCUACGAUCUAUAGCUGGUCUGAGAGGAUGAUCAGCCACACUGGGACUGAGACACGGCCCAGACUCCUACGGGAGGCAGCAGUGGGGAAUAUUGGACAAUGGGCGAAAGCCUGAUCCAGCAAUGCCGCGUGAGUGAUGAAGGCCUUAGGGUUGUAAAGCUCUUUUACCAGGGAUGAUAAUGACAGUACCUGGAGAAUAAGCUCCGGCUAACUCCGUGCCAGCAGCCGCGGUAAUACGGAGGGAGCUAGCGUUGUUCGGAAUUACUGGGCGUAAAGCGCACGUAGGCGGCUUUUCAAGUCAGGGGUGAAAUCCCGGGGCUCAACCCCGGAACUGCCCUUGAAACUGGAUGGCUUUAAUACUGGAGAGGUGAGUGGAAUUCCGAGUGUAGAGGUGAAAUUCUUAUAUAUUCGGAAGAACACCCAUGGCCAAGGCGACUCACUGGACAGUUAUUGACGCUGACGUGCGAAAGCGUGGGGAGAAACAAGAUUAUAUACCCUGGUAGUCCA